Molecule: ribosomal RNA, 409 nt
Filed under: uncultured bacterium
Lineage: Bacteria
Description: bacterial SSU rRNA
Rfam family: Bacterial small subunit ribosomal RNA
Source: RNAcentral
GACGAACGCUGACGGUGUGCUUUAGACAUGCAAGUCGAACGCGAAAGCCCUUCGGGGUGAGUAGAGUGGCGAACGGGUGAGUAACACGUGGGCAAUCUGCCCCUCGCAGGGGGACAACCGGAGGAAACUCCGGCUAAUACCCCGUACGCUUGUGGGAUCGCAUGAUCUUGCAAGGAAAGGUAGCUUCGGCCAUCCGGCGAGGGAGUGAGCCCGCGGUGCAUUAGCUAGUUGGUGGGGUAACGGCCCACCAAGGCGACGAUGCAUAGCUGGUCUGAGAGGAUGAUCAGCCACACUGGGACUGAGACACGGCCCAGACUCCUACGGGAGGCAGCAGUCGGGAAUCUUGCGCAAUGGGCGAAAGCCUGACGCAGCAACACCGUGUGUGCGACGAAGGCCCUUGGGUCGUAAA